This is a long non-coding RNA of Portunus trituberculatus (swimming crab), 508 nucleotides long. RefSeq lists it as uncharacterized. Lineage: Eukaryota; Metazoa; Arthropoda; Malacostraca; Decapoda; Portunidae. The transcript has 3 exons. The record is from RefSeq and is a predicted model, not a curated record.
GCAGCCGGAUGCAGCAAGCAUUGACCGGUAGACACCACCCCUUGCCAGAACGGGGAAGAAGGUCCACAGGGAGCCACCUGCUCCACACACUGUGUUCUUGACCAACACGUCCCGCCCCAGCAACUCAGGGCGCGGAGCAGAGGAGAACAGCAAAGAUCGCAAAGCACGCAUCAUUUCCCUGCUACAGGAUGUCCUUCGGUGGUGGUGUCUUCUCUGCUAAAUAUCCAGAUCUAAUUUUCUUAAAUAUACUGUCAUCCACCAUGUGCCAGCAAGAGUUAUCCAUUUUGAUUUUAUUUGAUUCUAUUAAGUUCCGGGGGAAUUUGUGGAGAAAAGCUGAGUUCUUCAAGAUCUGUGGAUGUUUUGACUUGGAAUAGCUUGUCAAGAUCUUCAUCCGUGGAUGUUAUUACUACGUAGCCGUCAUUCACAGGUAUCAGUUUCGUAAUAUAGAUGUCAUUGUUGGAGAGAGCUCCUAGUAAUAGUUGUUGUUUCCUGGGGUCUUUGGAGUCUC